UCCUCGUCUCGCUUCUCUCUCACUUCCAAACUUGCCUCUACGACGAGCGCUCUCUCUUUCACGAUCACCAACGUCUACGCGCCCGCGGACCACGACCUGACGGAGGAUUUCGUCCAUGAUCUCAUCUCGGUUGCCGAGGGUGUGACGGGGCCGUGGCUCCUGCUCGGGGAUUUCAACCUGAUCCGGUUCCCUCACGAGAAGAACAAUGAUCGGUUCGACGCCCCGCGCGCGGCAACUUUCAACUCUCUGAUCAAUACCCUUGCUCUCCAUGAGCUGGCUCUUUCGGAUCGCCGGUUUACCUGGACGAACAAACGUGACCCCCCCACGCUUGCUCGCCUGGACCGUGUCUUCUUUGACUCCGCCUGGGACACGGCCUUUCCGGAUUCCGCUCUGUCGUCCCGCCCCCGCCCUACCUCGGAUCAUGUUCCUCUAGUGGUG
This 438-nucleotide ribosomal RNA is filed under the name Triticum aestivum (bread wheat). RNAcentral describes it as "partial small subunit ribosomal RNA". The record is from RNAcentral. Lineage: Eukaryota; Viridiplantae; Streptophyta; Magnoliopsida; Poales; Poaceae.